UCAGCUUCUUUUGGAAUAAUUCUUCUUCCUAUAUUUAGCGAGGGAUCGUUUGGUCUAGGAAGAGGCGGUGGAAACGAUCUUGAAUCUAACUAAUGGAGGGAGGGAGAGAGGUUAAAAUGAAAUAGAAAGGAAGAGAAAGAAAGAAUCUAUCAAGAGUGGAUCACGUGAUAUUGUCCUCUCUGAUCUGGUAAAGGAGGAGUUAGUAAGAAUACAGUAACACGUCAAAUAGCACUGGGACUAGUUGAAGAAGGAAAGAAAGUUGGUAUAUUGGAUAUUGAUUUAUGUGGUCCUAGUAUACCUCACAUGUUUUCAUUAACUGGUAGAGAUGUACUUCAAGGGACUGAUGGUUGGAUUCCAGUAUAUGUUGAUGAUACUCAAA
This is a long non-coding RNA of Amphimedon queenslandica, 379 nucleotides long. RefSeq lists it as uncharacterized. The record is from RefSeq and is a predicted model, not a curated record. The transcript is spliced from 4 exons. NCBI's taxonomy places the organism in Eukaryota, Metazoa, Porifera, Demospongiae, Haplosclerida, Niphatidae.